Molecule: transfer RNA, 60 nt
Filed under: Diacronema lutheri
Lineage: Eukaryota; Haptophyta; Pavlovophyceae; Pavlovales; Pavlovaceae
Rfam family: tRNA
About the family: Transfer RNA (tRNA) molecules are approximately 80 nucleotides in length. Their secondary structure includes four short double-helical elements and three loops (D, anti-codon, and T loops).
Source: RNAcentral
AGUAGCUCAGAGGUAGAGCAUUUGGCUGUUAACCAAGUUGACGUUGGUUCGAUUCCGACC